This is an RNA transcript of Tribolium castaneum (red flour beetle), 4739 nucleotides long. RefSeq lists it as uncharacterized. The record is from RefSeq and is a predicted model, not a curated record. Lineage: Eukaryota; Metazoa; Arthropoda; Insecta; Coleoptera; Tenebrionidae. The transcript is spliced from 2 exons.
UAAAAAACUCUACAAAAUGGCAUAGGACUCAAAGCGAUUUCUCGCCAAAAAAAUUUUCAAUUUUCAAACGCCGAUUACGCCCAAAUUAAAAAAGCUAGAAGAAAACGCUUUUUUAGAUCGGAAAGAGCACAUCAAAAUCUAUAAGAUAGAAUCGGUUUCAUUUGAUUUUGAGACACUUUAAAAAUUUUUAAAAAUUUCUAACGGGGGGGUGUAAAAUUUUUUUUAUUUUUUUUAUUUUCUCAUUUACGGCUAAACUAUUCUAAAAAGUGGAACUGCGCCUUUUAUACUUUGUUGACAACUUUAUUGAAGAGGAUGUUAAUAAUUACUUUUUCUGUUUGUGCUAAUGCGACAUUCUCGUUUCUAUUUUUUCGACCAAACCCGGAGCCGCUCCGGGCAACGGUUCCGGCUACAGAGGCGAUCAAAGUUUUUCACUAAAAAAAUUCAUAAAAAAAAAACUAAAAGUCGUAGAGCAUUGCGGUUUGUUCGAUUGAAUUCUACGGCUCAUUUUACAUAUUAUAUCGAUUUUUCACAAGAAUUAGAAAUUUAAAAUUUUUUGCCUAAAUUUAGGGUGGCCAUUUGUCUUAGUGAAAAAUUUUAUUCAUUAAAAAAAUUCAUAACUCGAAUAAAAGUCGUAGAGCAGUGCGGUUUGUUCCGUUGGAUUCAGCGGCUUUUUUUCUCUAUUAUACUAAUUUUUCACGCAAUUUAAAAUUUUCAAUUUUUUUGCUCAAAUUUCACCUUCAAAGAGGUGAAAAAAAAUAUUUUUUUUAAACUCACUCCAGUAGAUUUUUAUGGACUCUACAUGUCUUAACAACCCACAAAAGUUGUUAGAAGUCCACAAAAAGUCCAUAUGUUCGAUUUUUUGAUGUUUGAUUUUUUCAAUUUUCGUCGCAGUUUUUGUCGAUUUUGGGUACCCGGAACAUUUCUCGAGCAAUAGCUCCGGAACUAUUCGAGAUAACCCCAUGAAGUGUAGCAUCGUUGGAAAGCCCUUUUAAUGAUCUAUCAUUUGCAAAAAAGAUUAUUGUUGUCCGACUUAUAGUUUUCGAGAGAAUGCAAAUAAAAGCGAAAAUUAGAUCAUAUACUCAAAAAUUCAUAACUAAAAAACUAUUAGGAAUUUGGCAAUUUUCUUGAUGCCAAUCGAUUCCCCGGAUCAUUUUGCAUAGGUAUGGAUCAAAAUAGUUCCACUUUUUAGAAUAGUUUAGCCGUAAAUGAGAAAAUAAAAAAAAUAAAAAAAAUUUUACACCCCCCCGUUAGAAAUUUUUAAAAAUUUUUAAAGUGUCUCAAAAUCAAAUGAAACCGAUUCUAUCUUAUAGAUUUUGAUGUGCUCUUUCCGAUCUAAAAAAGCGUUUUCUUCUAGCUUUUUUAAUUUGGGCGUAAUCGGCGUUUGAAAAUUGAAAAUUUUUUUGGCGAGAAAUCGCUUUGAGUCCUAUGCCAUUUUGUAGAGUUUUUUAUUCCGGUUAUUCUCCAUUUUUCCGUUUCUCGAUAACUCUAAUAGUUUCGCCGUAAUUUUUUUUUCACCUCUUUGAAGGUAAGUGUAUUACUCAGGAAAUUUUAGCAAAAAAACUGAAAAUUUUAAAUCUCGUGAAAAGUUGGUAUAACACAGAAAAUGAGCCGCUGAAUUCAAUGGAACAAACCGCAUUGCUCUACGACUUUUAGUUUUCGAGUUAUGAAUUUUUUUGUUGAAUAAAACUUUUCACAAAAAAUUUUAAAUUUUUAAUUUUUGUGAAAAAUUGAUAUAAUAUGUAGAAUGAGCUGUAGAAUUCAAUGGAACAAACCGCAGUGCUCUACAACUUUUAGUUUUUUUUUUUGAAUUUUUUUAAUGAAAAUCCAAAUCUGCCAGAAUCAGAUCACUACGACUAACCGUUCAGAAGAUAUCGGCAAAAAUAGAGAAAACUUUACAAAUUGAUUCAACUAAAUUUUUAUCAUUGACAAGCAAUUUUUUGGAGUUAUUUUCUUAUGAUUAAGUGUUUCUAACGUAGAAUGACCGGCGGAAUCUAAAUCUGCAAGAAUCGGAUCACUACGACUAACCUUUCAGAAGAUAUCGGGAAAAAUAUAGAAAACUUUACAAAUUGAUUCAACAAAAUUUUCAUCAUUGACAAGCAAUUUUUUGGAGUUAUUUUCUUAUGAUUAAGUGUUUCUAACGUAGAAUGACCGGCGGAAUCUAAAUCUGCAAGAAUCGGAUCACUACGACUAACCUUUCAGAAGAUAUCGGGAAAAAUAUAGAAAACUUUACAAAUUGAUUCAACAAAAUUUUCAUCAUUGACAAGCAAUUUUUUGGAGUUAUUUUCUUAUGAUUAAGUGUAAGAUGAUGAAGAUGAUGGUUGUGGUGUUUCUUGUCGUUUCUCACGUAUGUUUUCGUUUAUAUACUGCAUUCGUUUUGGAUUAACAAUAAACGCACGUGGUACGUUGAUUUUAGAUAAAAUUUGUGAAAAAUUUUUCCAACCAGUCGGUUCAGCAGACAGUCUACUACUACUAGUACCACUUUUCAUAAGGUCAAUGAUUAUAAUUAAUUAUAUUUGAAUCAGGAAUUGUUUUACCGUCGUAAAUAACGUUACCAACUUCGUUCCAUGCAACACCAUUGCUUGUUAUAUAAUCAACUAAAACACUAGCCUUAGCUUGUAAAGUUUUCGGUAACGAUUUUAGAAAAUUUUUGUUAAGAUGAUCGGCUGCUAUUAACUUAUUAUUUUCAACAUCAACAUUUUCUUUUUCACCUGUUUCAAUCAUUGGUAUUGUUACAGGUUCACGAAAUCGAUUUAUCACUUUUAAAUAUCUUUGAAGAACUUGAUUGUACAACGUCCAUUUCUCGUUGUCGUCAAUGUGUUUCAGUUCUAUAAUUCUUCACAUUUCACGAUCCAAAUCAUUUAUGAUGUUUGGUUGAUUGCUGGUACCACUUUGCAUACGUUCAAAUACACCUGGAUCAACCAUUAUCAUUUUCUUAGCAUGCUCCAUUAUCGUUAUUUACGAAAUAAAUGACCCAAUACACCCGAUAUUAUUGGCGCUAACAAUAACGGUAAGAAGGCACCACCUUUUUGAACAAUCAACUUUUUCUUUUGCUGAACAGACAAUUUUCGAUUAACUAAAUCCCUCAACACUUUUUUAUGUUUUUUUAGUUUACUUUUUUGUACGAUUCAAUGGAACUUUACCCAACAAAGUAUUAUGAGCGCAUUCACAAAUACAAUGAACCAGAUUUUUGUCCGCUGUAUUUAAAAUUGAUUUACGAUAUUCAGGUGUUGUUUUAUGUAAGAAUUUUAAAAGAUCAGCGUUUCUUGCUAACGUUCGCGACAUCUCAAAUACAACUGAGAAAUGAAUAACACGUUUUUUAAAUUUAUACUUUUUUCAUACGUCUCUUAGGUAUAUAUGCAAAAGUAGGUGAUUCAUCGGGUAAAAUGUUUGUACGAAUACGAUAAUCAUCGGACGUAUCCUGUUUUAAAUCGAUUAACAAAUAUCCAUGCGGUUUCAUAGUCGCAUCCUUAUAAGCUUCUUGAAGAAAUUUUGUAUUUUCUGGAAAAAUCUGUCGGGCUAAAAAAUUGACUUGAGCCUUGUCACGGGGGUUUUUGAAAUAUAUAAUGUAGUUUGCAUUCAGUGAAAUGUCUCUCUGUCCUUUGCCUUGGUGGAACAGAUUUUGCGUAAUAUAAAAAACACUAAGAUUUCGAUGAUGGCUACCUUUUGUAAAUAUAUCCACAACACCACCAUUUGUUUCACGCAUUAAAUCAUCCAAAAUUAUUAACGUCGGCUUUAAACCAUCAAAUUCAGUCAUAUCAGGCAUACCUUGACGAUACUCGAUUCUUAAAUUACUAACAAUAUCAUUUUUUUCAUAUAACGGUUGCCAUUCAUCAUAAUACUAUAUCACACGAUCAAAACUUGUAUCACACAUUGAUUUCAAAUGAUUUAAGAACUGCGUUAUAAAAUGUGUUUUUCCACAACCUGAAGGGCAGUGACAAUAGCCGUGAACGGUGCUUUAAAACUAAAAAUGUUUCCGUACUUCAAUGUUUAUAUACAUUACGUAUAUAUAGAAGGUCUUCACGGAUCAAUUUAAGUACAUUUAUUUAUAUUUUUUUUAUUUAAAUUUCGUACCGAUGUUUGAAAAGCAUCCCAAACGAUAUAGCGACAAAAGGAUUAUAGGAUUUGCAGCGACAAUUAGUAACCUAGACAGUCGUCUGUCUGGCUGUUUUGAUGAAAGAAAAGAUGAUUCACCGAACCAUUAGAAAUCUUUCUCUCAAAUUUCAUCCCCUACCAACAUCACCACCACCACCACCACUACCACCUUCAAACCCUUUUUUCCUCAUUUUCAAAGCUGACUUUCGGCGACACAAGUACCUAUACAUUUUUACGUGCCAAGUGUUAAAUUGUGUGACAAAUGUUUGAUGGACAAUGUGUAAUCCUGUACUCCAGAGGGGAGUACCGUCUAACAUUUAGGCGGUUCACCACGUAUAGAGCGUUACAGGAGGAGAAUAUCCUCUGCAAGUGGUGCGCCAGGCUAGAAGAAAAAGUCUGGUACAAACAUAUGCACAUUUAUAAUGUAACACUCAAGUGUACGCGGUGUGAAACACCUAUAUUACCCCGGACACAUAUGGGGUGUCCUAGACGGAUACAUUUAGGGCGGGAAAAGGUACCCUAUAAUUCCCUUUUACGGAAAAUUGUGUUCCCGGAAUCGGACGAUGACCAGUCUGAAGAAGAAAGCGGCGUCGAGGAUGUAGAAUGAUUGUGUGGGCGAUUCUUAAAUAUAUGUUUAUUUUUAAUAA